This 749-nucleotide long non-coding RNA is filed under the name Vigna radiata. Its description in RNAcentral is "long non-coding RNA (VRAD_LNC003966)". The record is from RNAcentral. Lineage: Eukaryota; Viridiplantae; Streptophyta; Magnoliopsida; Fabales; Fabaceae.
UGAGCACUUCUUGACCUGCACAGGCAUGGAAACUGAAGAGCGUCCUGCGCCUGCUGGGAAGACAGCACCAAAAAGAAGGGGUCCUGCUGCAAAAAAGUCAACUGCCAUAGUGUUGGAUGAGACAGAUAGUGAUAAUGAUAAUGAUGAUACGAAUGACAAUGACUUUGAAAUCACGCAGCCGUCCGCAGGAUCAGGAAAAAAGAAAGGAGGGAGAAAACCUGCUGCUCAAAAUGCGAAAAAGGCACCUGCCGCUCAAAAUGCGAAAAAGGCACCUGCUGCUACCAGGAAGAGAAACGUAGGUGGCAAGCAAUCUCAGGUUUUGGGUCAAAAGCUCAUAACCGAUAUGAUGGAGAAAACAGGAAUAUCACCUGAGAAGAAAGUGAGGAAGAUGAGGGCUUCUCCAUUUAACAAGAAAAGCAGUUCCGUGUUGGGCAGGGUUGCUGCUGCUGCCAACAUAGAAGAAAGUGUAAGUGAAGACUUGUCUGGUGGUGGUUCUGCUGGUUCAAACCCUUCUCCAGGCACCGCAGAGGAUGAGGUGGUUGAGGUUGCAGCACCUCCAUCAAGAACUAGACCUCAAAGGGUCAUUCGUAAGCCAAUGACGUAUGUACUAAGUGAUUCUGAAAGUGACAACGAUUCUGAUCAAAAUGAAGAUUAUUCUGAUUUUGAGGAAGAGGAGCAGGAGGAGGACUAGGCCUUGUGCUUAUUAACUACUAGGAAGUAACAUGAUCUGCGUCUUGUGGAUUCGUUAG